UUUCAUGAAACUGUUUUGCUCUCACUGCCCUCAAAACCCAAACGCUCAUUACCCUUGCAAUCCUUACAGCCGCAGACGAAGAUGAAGACAAAGAUCCACAAGAGCAGCCAUCAUUGCCGAGUAGUGGAACUUGAGAUAGCUCAGCCGUUGAAACCUUCACUUAAUUUCACACCAUUUUUGAAAUCGCCUCUCUCUCUAGCGCCCCGUCAAAGUCCUUAACCGACAUGGACAUCAAGGAGAGGAGAAAGCUUGGUUGUG
This 258-nucleotide long non-coding RNA is filed under the name Citrus sinensis (sweet orange). Its description in RNAcentral is "long non-coding RNA (CSIN_LNC005750)". The record is from RNAcentral. Lineage: Eukaryota; Viridiplantae; Streptophyta; Magnoliopsida; Sapindales; Rutaceae.